Long non-coding RNA from Betta splendens (Siamese fighting fish), 439 nucleotides. RefSeq lists it as uncharacterized. The transcript has 3 exons. Lineage: Eukaryota; Metazoa; Chordata; Actinopteri; Anabantiformes; Osphronemidae. The record is from RefSeq and is a predicted model, not a curated record.
GAUACCCAAGCACUUUUGUUACCUGGGGUCUUCAAGCUUCACAUUCAGGAUCCAUCUGCAUCUGUGCAGAAAAGAAUUGAAGUGGUCCUGAGAUGCCUCAUUCAGUACAUGGGGGAGAGACAGUAAGACCUCAUCAGUGUCCCCACAGUCGUGAUGAAACAGAGGUGCACGAUGAGCUUGGCAGUUUCCCACUGAAAAUUUACAUGUGCCAUCAGCCCAACGACAUUGGAAUCAUCAUAGAAGGACAGCCUGUGGUCAGAGGUGUGCCAAACCUGUCGAAAGCAUGCUGCAUCCUGUUUGGACUUACCUAUGCCCUCGAGCUCAAAUAUUCCUCCAAAAUGGUGCAUACUUUUGAGAUAUAUCAGAGGCUCUUUGUGGGAUUGGACCCCAUGCAUCCUUUUUAUAAGUUAGAUCUAGGUAUUACUUUUUACAGUGUUGG